RNAcentral lists this long non-coding RNA (1037 nucleotides) under Homo sapiens (human). RNAcentral describes it as "HSALNT0243017". Lineage: Eukaryota; Metazoa; Chordata; Mammalia; Primates; Hominidae. The record is from RNAcentral.
CUGGUUCCAAGGGGGUAUAUUAACCGUCUGGUGUUGAAUACAGGUGUCUCCCUACACACAUGCAUUUUGGAAGGAGAGGAGUUAGAGCUUUCACCAGAUUCUCAAAGGGGCCCAUGACUCCAACCUCUGGCCCUAGUUGGCCUGGCCCAGGAGCUGGGGAUACAGCCCUAGUCAUAUCAACAUCCCUGGGCCAUCCUCGCUGUCCAGGGUCUCUCUUCUAUUCAAGGAUGUGCCCAGGUCGGUAGCAGUAUCCUGUUUCCCUUGUCCUGGCCCUUCCAGCUGCAGAAAGUGGACAGCGGGUUUCACACCCAGCCCUGCUGCACACGCUCCAGCUUCCUGGAGACCCGAGCCAGGUUUCUCCCAGCAGCACCUCUCCAUCCCAGAGAUGGCACCAUAUUCAAACUGAGGUACCAGUGGCACUGACCCCCAACAACAGAGAGGACCCAGCUUCACACUUGAUCCAGCAGGGGCCCAACCACAUGGAGCAGAAAAAUGCAUCUGCAAACCUGGAGAUUUCCAUUUGCACUCGCCUAUGGAUUGCUCAUAAUUUUUUUUUUUUUGAGACGGAGUUUCGCUCUGUCACCCAGGCUGGAGUGCAGUGGCACGAUCUCAACUCACUGCAACCUCCGCCUCCCAGGUUCAAGCAAUUCUCCUGCCUACGCCUCCUGAGUAGCUGGGGUUACAGGUGGGUGCCACCACGCCCGGCUAGUAAAAUUUUUAAAUACAUUAUUAUUAUAGUCAUUAAUAAAACCAGUUGCUCUAAUGGACACUCUUCCUUGAAGCACACUUUUCUUGGGCUUUGCUAACAUACUCCUCCUUUUGGGUCUGUCCUUCUGGAAGCUUUUUCUCAGACCCCUUCCCUGCCUCUCACAACUUCCCCACCCCCAGACACCUCCACCCACUCCCACCACUGCCUCUGAGCCCCCAGGGCUCCAGCCCCUCACACCAGCCGCCUACAGAGGGCCACCUGUGAGUCUCCCAGACACCUAAAACUCAAGGAGGCUAAAGGCGACUGAGACCGCUUCCCUACCUAAGCC